RNAcentral lists this ribosomal RNA (468 nucleotides) under uncultured bacterium. RNAcentral describes it as "partial 16S ribosomal RNA". It matches the Rfam family "Bacterial small subunit ribosomal RNA", at positions 28 to 507 of the family's 1533-position model. The record is from RNAcentral.
GACGAACGCUGGCGGCGUGCUUAACACAUGCAAGUCGAACGGAAAGGCCCUGCUUUUGUGGGGUGCUCGAGUGGCGAACGGGUGAGUAACACGUGAGUAACCUGCCCUUGUCUUUGGGAUAACUUCAGGAGACUGGGGCUAAUACCGGAUAGGAGCUCCUGCUGCAUGGUGGGGGUUGGAAAGUUUCGGCGGUUGGGGAUGGACUCGCGGCUUAUCAGCUUGUUGGUGGGGUAGUGGCUUACCAAGGCUUUGACGGGUAGCCGGCCUGAGAGGGUGACCGGCCACAUUGGGACUGAGAUACGGCGCAGACUCCUACGGGAGGCAGCAGUGGGGAAUAUUGCACAAUGGGCGGAAGCCUGAUGCAGCAACGCCGCGUGCGGGAUGACGGCCUUCGGGUUGUAAACCGCUUUCGCCUGUGACGAAGCGUGAGUGACGGUAAUGGGUAAAGAAGCACCGGCUAACUACGUG